RNAcentral lists this ribosomal RNA (433 nucleotides) under uncultured bacterium. RNAcentral describes it as "bacterial SSU rRNA". It matches the Rfam family "Bacterial small subunit ribosomal RNA", at positions 32 to 516 of the family's 1533-position model. The record is from RNAcentral.
AAUAAAUGCUGGUAAUAAGCUUGACACAUGCGAGUCGAAUGUUUGUUUAGAGAGGCAUGGCGAACGGGUGAGUAACGCCUGAGUUAUCUACCUCUUAAUAGAGAAUAAUUUACUUAUUAAAUACUCUAUAAUUCAUAAAAAUUAAAAUUGUUAAGAGAUGAGCUUUGGUAAGAUUAGGUAGUUGGUGAUUUAAAAGACCACCAAGCCAACGAUCUUUAACUGGUUUAAAAGAACGAUCAGUCACAUUGGGAUUGAGAUAAGGCCCAACCUUGAAUUCAAGGCAGCAGUGGGGAAUUUUGGACAAUGAGCGCAAGCUUGAUCCAGCUAUAUUACGUGAGUGAUGAAGGCUAUAUUGGUUGUAAAACUCUUUCAUUGAGAAUGAAACAAGACUUUACUCAAAGAAGAAGUUCCGGCAAACUCCGUGCCAGCAGCC